RNAcentral lists this non-coding RNA (27 nucleotides) under Homo sapiens (human). Lineage: Eukaryota; Metazoa; Chordata; Mammalia; Primates; Hominidae. The record is from RNAcentral.
UUCCUACUAUCCCUGACUGGUUAGUGU